AUACUUGGGUGGGAUUCUGGUGCGAUAAUAUUGGACGGCGUUUACUGUUUAAAUAUUUAUAUUAUCGUUACCUAUAAUAUUUCAAAAUCGUUUACUCAUUUGUCGUUAGUCGUUCUUCGUCGACACUCGUUACUAUAAAUAAUAAAUUUAAUUAGAUCGCAAACCGCCGACGUAGUAGAGUUAUUGGUGCGGACAAUGUACAGGUCGUAUGAUUAGGUAUAUUAUGCAUAUUACGCCGCGUAUAAGGUAUAUACUAGUUGUGCGUACCUAUACGAUAUUACAACGGCGAAAGCGCGAAAGGUCGACCGCGGUUGCUUAUAGCGGCGAUUGGGAGGGGGCGACUUUCACGCAUUAUAUUUCGUUCGCUUUUGAUACAGACCCAGUUAAUAGAUUUGUGACUUGUUCGGUGCUAUUAUGUGUAUCGUCCACUCCGACGUAAUCGUGAUUAUCAAUGUAGAAUUUUGCCUUUGGUCGAUACAAUCCGAUAAUUUUUCAAUAUUUCAAAAACAAUAGCAUAAUAAAGGUGAAGUAAUUGGGGUAGCUUCAAGGAUUUAUUUGGUGUGUCAAAACUCAAUACGUUCUGGGUUAUUUCAUAAUAGCGUCAUCCGGUCCAUCAUAGUCGACGAUGUUAUUGUUUUUUUUUUCCAAAAAUGGUCGUGCAAAAAUUCUUUUAUAUCCGGUUUCCAGACUCCACGAUCGGAGCGGGACAUACCGGACGUGCAUCAUGCUAACAUCCCCAUAAUAGGUUUUAUUACCUAGAUAUGUGUGAACAUAUUGGUGAAAAUAGGAAGGAGUAGUUACUAUUGCAUCGAAUACUUGGUCCUCCAAAAAUAUUCGUCUCCGUGUCGAAUAUAUAUAAUGUACCUUGCAAGUUACAAUACGGCAAUUAAUAUUCUUUGUUGUAAUUAUGUUUUAUUUAUUAUUUUCUAUAAUAUAUUGUUUUGCGAGGCAUAUGUGUCCACCGCCUACCUUUAUGGCUUUGGAUAUUUGCGUCCAGUAGUGGUUUUUAUCCAUUUACUAUAAUAUGUAAUAUGUGUUUCGAACUUUUUUCAUUUUUUUUUCAAUUCCAAAUAUAAAAGUUGAAAAUGUAUGUGCAUCUAUAUCAAUAUACUUGAGUUAUAGACGAUAUAGUAUAGCCGUCACUGUUUGCGUCUUUAGCGUUUACAGAGUUUGAACAUUUUGACAUACAUUUUAUUCCACCGAAGUAAGUUUAUAUAAACACCGCUUUGUUUAAUAUAAUAUAUAUUUAUUGUAGUAUAUAACAUAUAAUACGUUCGUUUUUUUAUGUAUUCUUGUAUAUAAAUAUGAACCUUAAUUUUUUAACAAUGUCACUCGAUUCAACGGUUAUGUCAAGGUUAUGAAGUGAAAGAUAAC
This is a long non-coding RNA of Rhopalosiphum padi (bird cherry-oat aphid), 1374 nucleotides long. RefSeq lists it as uncharacterized. The record is from RefSeq and is a predicted model, not a curated record. Lineage: Eukaryota; Metazoa; Arthropoda; Insecta; Hemiptera; Aphididae. The transcript has 5 exons.